UGGAAUAAUGAGAUGCCUGGAGAUGA
RNAcentral lists this non-coding RNA (26 nucleotides) under Cricetulus griseus (Chinese hamster). The record is from RNAcentral. Lineage: Eukaryota; Metazoa; Chordata; Mammalia; Rodentia; Cricetidae.